CUCCGAAUGAUUCAUAAAUAAAUAAAUAAAUAAAUAUAUAUAUAUAUAUAUAUAUAAAAGAACUAAACCAGAACAAUCUGGCCACACAGUUCAUCCAUCUUAUUAUAUAUUAGGGAACUUUCUUGCAAUUUGGUGCUCUUUGUAUGAGAACAAACACCCCCCAUUCCCUACAGAUCUGUAUGUUCAUGAUAACUCACGAUGAUCAUCAACCAUGUCCGUUCAGAAAGACCCCUCCACUCAUACCAAUUGGCAACUAGGAAGUUCUUUGAUUUUGAUUUUCGAAGAGUACUUAUAUAUAGAAGAGUGUGGGACAGAUUAGUUGCACACACACAAAAAAAAAAUAAAUUCAUACCCAAAAAAACAUCGCCGUUUUUCUUCAGAUAUGUCCAUCAAUGUGAGGAUCUAUACGGUUUUAGUUGUUAAUUAUAUAAACGAGAAAUUUCUGUGAUUUGUCAUAUUGUAAACAGAAAUGAAAACUUAUCCAUGAUUUUAUGGAUCUACAAAAAAAAAAGUUGAAGUAAACAGUUUUUGACAGCGUUAUAUAUAU
This 547-nucleotide long non-coding RNA is filed under the name Androctonus crassicauda. The record is from RNAcentral. Lineage: Eukaryota; Metazoa; Arthropoda; Arachnida; Scorpiones; Buthidae.